GAGUAACCUGCCCUUGACUCUGGGAUAAGCCUGGGAAACUGGGUCUAAUACCGGAUAUGACUGACCGUCGCAUGGUGGUUGGUGGAAAGCUUUUGUGGUUUUGGAUGGACUCGCGGCCUAUCAGCUUGUUGGUGAGGUAAUGGCUUACCAAGGCGACGACGGGUAGCCGGCCUGAGAGGGUGACCGGCCACACUGGGACUGAGACACGGCCCAGACUCCUACGGGAGGCAGCAGUGGGGAAUAUUGCACAAUGGGCGCAAGCCUGAUGCAGCGACGCCGCGUGAGGGAUGACGGCCUUCGGGUUGUAAACCUCUUUCAGUAGGGAAGAAGCGAAAGUGACGGUACCUGCAGAAGAAGCGCCGGCUAACUACGUGCCAGCAGCCGCGGUAAUACGUAGGGCGCAAGCGUUAUCCGGAAUUAUUGGGCGUAAAGAGCUCGUAGGCGGUUUGUCGCGUCUGCCGUGAAAGUCCGGGGCUCAACUCCGGAUCUGCGGUGGGUACGGGCAGACUAGAGUGAUGUAGGGGAGACUGGAAUUCCUGGUGUAGCGGUGAAAUGCGCAGAUAUCAGGAGGAACACCGAUGGCGAAGGCAGGUCUCUGGGAGAUUAACUGACGCUGAGGAGCGAAAGCAUGGGGAGCGAACAGGAUUAGAUA
Molecule: ribosomal RNA, 652 nt
Filed under: Arthrobacter sp. MJH64
Lineage: Bacteria; Bacillati; Actinomycetota; Actinomycetes; Micrococcales; Micrococcaceae
Description: bacterial SSU rRNA
Rfam family: Bacterial small subunit ribosomal RNA
Source: RNAcentral